Molecule: ribosomal RNA, 554 nt
Filed under: uncultured ciliate
Lineage: Eukaryota; Ciliophora
Description: SSU rRNA
Rfam family: Eukaryotic small subunit ribosomal RNA
Source: RNAcentral
CUGGUUGAUCCUGCCAGUAGUCAUACGCUUGUCUCAAAGAUUAAGCCAUGCAUGUCUAAGUAUAAGUAUUAUACAGCGAAACUGCGAAUGGCUCAUUAAAACAGUUAUGGUUUAUUUGAUAAUCGAAUUUUACAUGGAUAACCGUGGUAAUUCUAGAGCUAAUACAUGCUGGUGUGCCUGACUUUUCGGAAGGGCGGUAUUUAUUAGAUAACGAACCAAUAUUCCUCUGGCCUAUUGUGGUGAAUCAUAAUAACUGAUCGAAUCGCAAAGCCUUUGGCUGCGAUAUGUCAUUCAAGUUUCUGCCCCAUCAGCUUUCGAUGGUAGUGUAUUGGACUACCAUGGCUUUUACGGGUAACGGAGAAUUAGGGUUCGAUUCCGGAGAGGGAGCCUGAGAAACGGCUACCACAUCUAAGGAAGGCAGCAGGCGCGUAAAUUACCCAAUCCUGACUCAGGGAGGUAGUGACAAGAAAUAACGGACCGGCCUUUUAGGCUCGGGAUUGCAAUGAGCCGAAUUUACACCCCUUAGCGAGGACCCAUUGGAGGGCAAGUCUGGU